Molecule: long non-coding RNA, 406 nt
Organism: Medicago truncatula (barrel medic)
Lineage: Eukaryota; Viridiplantae; Streptophyta; Magnoliopsida; Fabales; Fabaceae
Exons: 2
Source: RefSeq, a predicted model, not a curated record
UAUAACUUCGUAGUUUCUAAAAACUCUCAUAAGCGUUAUAAAGAAAAUAUAAUCUAUUUCAUUCAUGCAACUAAAGUAAACUAUGGUCAAAAUUGCAAAGUUUCUUUACGUUCUGAUUAUCUCUCUUUCCUUAUUUCUUUUUGCAAUCACUGUCGACGGGGCUUAUGUAACACGUUUUUGGUGUUAUCGAGAUUUGGAUUGUCGAAAAGACAUGUGCAAGCCUCCUUUUAAUCCGAGGUGUCAUAAUCAUAUUUGUAUAUGUCGUUUAUGGGGAUUAUAGUUUAUAUGAGUAACAGUCCCAAAAUAGUACGCAGAAGUCCGAUUAGAAUAUUUCUUAAGAUGUCAUUUAGUUAUAUCAUAUAGUCAUGAAUGCACCAAUAAUCAACAACAACAAUAUUUUCAUUAA